Homo sapiens (human) is the source of this 1156-nucleotide long non-coding RNA. RefSeq lists it as uncharacterized. Lineage: Eukaryota; Metazoa; Chordata; Mammalia; Primates; Hominidae. The transcript has 3 exons. The record is from RefSeq and is a predicted model, not a curated record.
AUGGUGGCUUUGAAAAGGCAAGUGCCAGUUUAUCAGGAAACAUGUAUCUCCAUUUCUGGCAGUGAACUGACGGUUUCAGACACUCAUGAGAAAGCGUCCUACGUGGAAUGCCCAGAAGUCGGAGAACUGUCAGACAUCUGGCCGUUAACCACAUUCCUACGCAGGGGCUACACUGCGCAUGUCCGAAGGGGCGUGUCAGGGGUGGGGCGAGGAGGAGGUACCGUUCCGAUGCAGAGACGGUGCCGAGGGAAGGGGCGGGGCGAGGAGAAGGGGCAGAGCCGAGGGAAGAGGCGGGGCGAGUCCAGCUCCAGGAGGAGGAGCGUUACUAUGGGAACCUUGACAGGUUUGUGCUAUGUACUAACAUGCAAUACAAAUACUGAUGAAAACAAAACUAUUGCCCUCCUACCAAAUGGGAAAUUAAUGUUAUGACUGGAUAAAUUCGAGGUUGUCUAUCUCCGUUUUCUGAUGGAAAAGCGUGGAGUUCAGAAGCAUUGCUCGCUCCUUCAGUUUCUAACAAGUCAGUAAUCUCAUAGCAAUUUAAAUUUAAAUGUUUGAAUUACCUCUCCUUCCCUGGUUCAGAGUAAGUAUGUUGUUUUUCUAUUUGUAAAACUUCUGACUCUGGGUUUUUUCAGUUGGGCUUUAGAGAGGGCAACUCCCAUAUUGCUGUUAUAUCUAUUUCUCUUUGGCAUCUGGCUGCAUCUGAUAAAGAUUAUAGAAUUAGAUCUGGUUCUGUAUAUAUUUUGGGACCAAAAAUUCAAAGUAAUCAACUCAAGAUAGGAGUCUACAACUUUAAUUCUUAAUAAAAGAUUUCCUUUGAUUUCCCCAAAUCUUUAUGAUUCCUAGAAGAAAUUCACCCAUGGGUGAAGCAUGUGGCUCUGUUGAAUAAAGUUUUGUUGGGGAUUUCCACAUUGAGUUUCAUGAGGCAUACUAUUUUACAGGGUUUUUUUUUUUUUUUUUUUUUUUUUGGUACUUCCUUUCUCUGAUUCUAUUGGAGAGUAAUACUAGCUUCCUAAAAUAUAUUGGGAAAUGUUCCCUCUUCUACUUUUGGACAAUAUUAAACUCAUAAUGACAAGUUUUCUUGUGAAAAUGUUCUGAAAAAAAUGUAGGGUGGGCCAGUCAUGGUGGCUCACACCUGUAAUUCCAGCACUUUGGGAGG